GAUUCCCUGCUGAACUCUCUGAGGUGGCCCGGCCAAGGUCAUGGUCUACUUGCUGCAAGAGCAAAGAAGGGCAGUAGGGGCAGAGUCAAGGGGGUUGGGUCUAUUCUCCAAAGAGCCAGAUGCUUCACACUCAGCUGACUAUCUUGCCCUGAUGUCUGGGGAAAAAAAAAAAAAAAACACCAGGGAAAUAAACACAACCUUUGGAAGUCCUGGUGAUGUGUCUGGGGAGGCUGCUACAGCAGGUAGCUCAUGUGGGCAAUGCCCUGCCUUUGACCGGCCGCUAAGGCUUGUGAGGCCAAUGGCCUUGCUGCCAUUAACUGCUCCUAGAUGAUUACCUAAGUACUGCAGCCCCAUUCCGGAAUUUCCACAGUAUUCCUGCUGAAUCUCUGUUCAUCAAAGCUCAUAACGCACAGGUUCCUACGGUUAAGAGAACUGGGGAACCCUGGCCCCCAAACACAGGAACCAACAUCAAUGGGAGGGUCUGGGGGUGACACAUAGACUCUGAACUCCUUAAGGACUCUGCCUGACACUGAGGCAGGGCUCAGAGAAUGUUCAUCUGAAUGAAGGGAUCCUAGCCUCAUCCCUGCAUCCUGGGGUUCCCAGUCUGGCUGGGGAGACAGAAUGAACAAACAAAACAUAUCAAGAACUGAGUAUGACCAGGAGGUUCACAGCCCUGUGUGUUCCAGACAGAGGCGUUCCCACGAUGGACAAAGAGAGCUCUAAGAGAGGAUGCGGUGGUCAGAGCGGGGAACUGGAGCGGAGAUGUAAAGAAUGAGUACGUACUAGAAAACCCAAUGCCCCACACUUCUGGAUUGUUCUUCUCAGAUGUGGGAAGAAUUCUCACCUUCCACCGCCCCUGACUUUCAUUUGGUCCAAAAAUAAGAACAUCAUCUUUUCAAAGCUCUUACAAGGACAAUGUAUAUCCAAGAGGAACCAGCAUAGAUUGAGGUCUUUGCCAGGCCAAUUGUUACGCUGGGCCACAGCCUGAAGCAAGAGGAGGUACCCAGAGGAUCUGACAUUGCUCUAAAACUUAAUUCGAGUUACCCCCGGGCUUAGGACCAGAUUAUGGAGCUCUUAGGAAAGUGUUUCUCCUCCUCAACAUGGAUUUAGACUAUAUUGUUGCUGAGAAAAAAUAGUUGUGUUUUGUGUGCA
Molecule: long non-coding RNA, 1152 nt
Organism: Felis catus (domestic cat)
Lineage: Eukaryota; Metazoa; Chordata; Mammalia; Carnivora; Felidae
Exons: 2
Source: RefSeq, a predicted model, not a curated record